UGGAGGGCUCGAAGAUCUUGGAAGGAGAAGAGGCUGGUCCAAGAACUCGGCCUCCCCCC
Molecule: microRNA precursor, 59 nt
Filed under: Monodelphis domestica (gray short-tailed opossum)
Lineage: Eukaryota; Metazoa; Chordata; Mammalia; Didelphimorphia; Didelphidae
Description: microRNA mdo-mir-12412 precursor
Source: miRBase by way of RNAcentral